Molecule: ribosomal RNA, 467 nt
Filed under: uncultured bacterium
Lineage: Bacteria
Description: partial 16S ribosomal RNA
Rfam family: Bacterial small subunit ribosomal RNA
Source: RNAcentral
GACGAACGCUGGCGGCGUGCUUAACACAUGCAAGUCGAACGGAAAGGCCCUGCUUUUGUGGGGUGCUCGAGUGGCGAACGGGUGAGUAACACGUGAGUAACCUGCCCUUGACUUUGGGAUAACUUCAGGAAACUGGGGCUAAUACCGGAUAGGAGCUCCUGCUGCAUGGUGGGGGUUGGAAAGUUUCGGCGGUUGGGGAUGGACUCGCGGCUUAUCAGCUUGUUGGUGGGGUAGUGGCUUACCAAGGCUUUGACGGGUAGCCGGCCUGAGAGGGUGACCGGCAACAGUGGGACAGUGAGGCGGCCCAGACGCCAGCGGGAGGCAGAAGUGGGGAAGAUGGGACAAGGGGCGGAGGCAUGAUGCCGCAUCGCGGCGUGGGGGAUGACGGCGUUCGGGUUGUAAACCGCGUUCGCCUGGGACGAAGCGUGAGUGAGGGUAAUGGGUAAAGAGGCACCGGCGAACUACGU